UGCGUAGGCGGUUAGUUAAGUCUGUUGUGAAAUCCCCGGGCUCAACCUGGGAAUGGCAAUGGAUACUGGCUAGCUAGAGUGUGUCAGAGGAUGGUGGAAUUUCCGGUGUAGCGGUGAAAUGCGUAGAGAUCGGAAGGAACAUCAGUGGCGAAGGCGGCCAUCUGGGACAACACUGACGCUGAAGCACGAAAGCGUGGGGGAGCAAACA
RNAcentral lists this ribosomal RNA (208 nucleotides) under uncultured bacterium. RNAcentral describes it as "partial 16S ribosomal RNA". It matches the Rfam family "Bacterial small subunit ribosomal RNA", at positions 568 to 774 of the family's 1533-position model. The record is from RNAcentral.